Molecule: long non-coding RNA, 1965 nt
Organism: Oncorhynchus gorbuscha (pink salmon)
Lineage: Eukaryota; Metazoa; Chordata; Actinopteri; Salmoniformes; Salmonidae
Exons: 2
Source: RefSeq, a predicted model, not a curated record
CCAAUAUCUCAUCCAAUCACAUGUCAUUUCAGGAGAGUCGUCCCAUCCUCUGUCUUCAAUACCAACAAGUAUAUGACUUAAAAUGCAUGCCCCUUACAUCCUGACUGGUCUACCAAUAACACUGAGUAGUUAUUCAGGAUGUAAGGGGAUUGGUAAUUCAGACUGACUGAUCUACCAAUAACAGUGAGUAGUUAUUCAGGAUGUAAGGGGAUUGGUAGUUCAGUCAGUCUGUCUGGAACAUGACCUUUGCUUGUCAUUCUGAUUGGUCUGCUAGAAUGCAUAUUGGAACAGAGAGGAAGUGCUCUAAACCCAACGGUUGCUUCCAAAAUGGCACCCUGUUCACUGUAGUGCACGACUUGUGGCCCCUAUGAGCCCUGGUCAAAAGUAGUGCACUAAAUAUGGAAUUAGGGUGCCAUUUGGGACACAAGACAAGUGUAAAUCGAGGCGCUCCGUCCAUCCAGCCAUCUGUGGUUAUUCUAUCCAUCUAUCUCCAGUCCGUAUUUAAAACCAGAGGACCGUAACUAUGGUGACGACCACGCUGCUGUAUGUAACUUGACUCCGUUAUUACAUGUAAGAAACGCUGAAUGAGCUCUUCUGUCCACACUACAAGGCUGAGUCACAAAUGGCACCCUAUUCCCUAUAUAGUUAACUACUGUAGUGGUGCAGUAUGCACAGCAGGGGUUCCCAAACGUGCUUCAUUAUUUUUUAUUGAGAUUGCCUUUGUUAAAUACAACACCAGCUUCAUUUUGUUUCAUUUGAGGGACCUAGGAAAAUGUCUCAUGACUUGUUUUAGGGAGGCGAUUUAUUUAACCUUUUAUUUAACUUGGCAAGUCAGUUAAGAACAAAUUCUUAUUUACAAUGACGGCCUACCAAGGCCAAACCCCCCUAACACUGACGACGCCUGACGACGCGGGGCCAAUUGUGCUCCACCCUAUGGUACUCCCAAUCACGCCUGGUUGUGAUACAGCCUGGAAUCGAACCAGGGUCUGUAGUGAUUCCUGUAGCACUGAGAUGCAGUGCCUUAAACAGCUGCGCCACUCAGGAGCCCCCAUGAUGAUGAUGAUGAUGAUGAUGAUGAUGAUAUCAACAAUAAUAAUAGAAAUAAAUAGUCCAGACCUGAUUUCCCCAAAUGUUUUCCGCUACCAAAUGUUUUAUUACGAUAAUUUAUAUGAACCUUCAAUUUAAUUAUGCAAAUUAUAUUUUACAGGAAGUGAUUCAAUUUAAUUAUGCAAAUUCUAUUUUACAGGAAGUGAUUCGAUCAAUUGAUAGCGACGGAGUCACACAUUGUAUAAGAUUACUCCGCAAGCGAAGUCCAAUUUCUUUUGACUCCUCGACUUUAGAAGGUCGUAAGCUCAGCUUCUCGAUGUCAUAGAGACAAAGCAAAUACAUUCCCCAUGUGCAUCCGAGUCGCGUCUUCCUCUUUGUCAUUUUACUACUUGUUUCUAGCCUAAUGCAUUGCGGAGUGACGCUUCAUUUUAGAUCGGAAGGUCCCGUGAUACUCAGACGCCCCGCCCCGUAUGUUUGGGACCCGUGAUGUAGAGAAUUAGGUGCCAUUUGGGAGCAGAACAUGAGGAGGAGGAUUCUGUUGGGUUCUGUCCAAUACAAGGACUUUAGAAGAAUCUGGACAAAUGUUUUGAAGGGUUUAGAAAACACAUCGAUGAUGAUGAUGAAGAACAUUCUCUCUGGCUUUUUAGUUCUUUACCAACCCUUUAGUUAGAAGUAUGUAGCUGUGUCGUCAUGUGUGUGUGUGUACGUGUGGUGUGUGUGUGUGUCGUUGUGGUGUGUGUACGUGUGGUGUGUGUGCGUGUGUGUGGUCUGUGAACGUUCCAAUCUAUAUACCUUCUCCUGGUUUUCCAUCCUUCCAUCCCUCCAAGUCCUCUGUUAACAUUCCAUCUCCAAGCUUUCCUCAAUUUAUUUUAGUGCCUUUCUGGAACACACUGAAUAAAAAAUGGUAUACCUCUGGAA